UAACUAGGGACAGGGCAGUUU
This 21-nucleotide non-coding RNA is filed under the name Caenorhabditis elegans. Lineage: Eukaryota; Metazoa; Nematoda; Chromadorea; Rhabditida; Rhabditidae. The record is from RNAcentral.